RNAcentral lists this ribosomal RNA (1295 nucleotides) under uncultured Cyphobasidiales. RNAcentral describes it as "partial 18S ribosomal RNA". It matches the Rfam family "Eukaryotic small subunit ribosomal RNA", at positions 475 to 1393 of the family's 1831-position model. Lineage: Eukaryota; Fungi; Basidiomycota; Cystobasidiomycetes; Cyphobasidiales. The record is from RNAcentral.
AUAAAUAACAAUAUAGGGCUCUUAUGGGUCUUAUAAUUGGAMUGAGUACAAUUUAAAUCCCUUAACGAGGAUCAAUUGGAGGGCAAGUCUGGUGAACUUCAGUUCCGCCGUAUYAAUUACCGGCUUCUGACGCCAGAMAKAGUAGGAGUUGUGGCACUAUGCACAUCUUAGGCCUGCUAGUCGAGUCUACAAAAUAGKUUUGGGUGUAGUCCGGCRRGGUAACCUGGUACGGGGAAACCUAAGGCUAAUGCAAAUUAGCUAUGGYAAUCCCGUGGCGAGCCGAUGUUCAGUAAUGUUCAUCAAUGGCCGUUGUAACGCGCGCAAAGGUACCGGUUAGGUGUAAAUACCUGACUCAAGGGACGUGCUAUUCCCACCGGAAACGGUGCUUACAACUGGAGCUCCCAAAGAGUAAAGGUCGUAAGGAACAAUGACUCAGGAAGAAAUACCUGAGUAUGUCAAGUUCGGUAUUCAAUAUUGUAAAGGCCAGCAGCCGCGGUAAUUCCAGCUCCAAUAGCGUAUAUUAAAGUUGUUGCCGUUAAAAAGCUCGUAGUCGAACUUCGGCCUUUGCCGCCCGGUCCGCCUAUUUGGGUGUGUACUGGAGCGGUGGAGGCUUACCUCGUGGUGAGCAAUCAUCCCCUUUACUGGGAGUGGUUGGGAACCAUGAUUUUUACUUUGAAAAAAUUAGAGUGUUCAAAGCAGGCUUAUGCCCGAAUACAUUAGCAUGGAAUAAUAAAAUAGGACGUGCGGUUCUAUUUUGUUGGUUUCUAGGAUCGCCGUAAUGAUUAAUAGGGAUAGUUGGGGGCAUUCGUAUUCAAUUGCUAGAGGUGAAAUUCUUGGAUUUAUUGAAGACGAACUACUGCGAAAGCAUUUGCCAAGGAUGUUUUCAUUGAUCAAGAACGAAGGUUAGGGGAUCGAAAACGAUCAGAUACCGUUGUAGUCUUAACAGUAAACGAUGCCGACUAGGGAUCGGACGAGGAUUUUUAAUGACUCGUUCGGCACCUGAAGAGAAAUCUUUAAGUCUAGGUUCGGGGGGGAGUAUGGUCGCAAGGCUGAAACUUAAAGGAAUUGACGGAAGGGCACCACCAGKUSUGSAKCCUGCGGCUUAWUUUGMCUCAACACGGGGAAACUCACCAGGUCCAGACACGACAAGGAUUGACAGAUUGAUAGCUCUUUCUUGAUUUCGUGGAUGGUGGUGCAUGGCCGUUCUUAGUUGGUGGAGUGAUUUGUCUGGUUAAUUCCGAUAACGAMCGAGACCUUAMCCUGCUAAAUAGCCCGGCCGGCUUUGGCUGGUCGCU